Molecule: long non-coding RNA, 1172 nt
Organism: Rattus rattus (black rat)
Lineage: Eukaryota; Metazoa; Chordata; Mammalia; Rodentia; Muridae
Exons: 3
Source: RefSeq, a predicted model, not a curated record
GAAGAACUGCACAGACGUCUCUGCAGCCCUGUGACUCAGGAGCAGCUGCCAAGGGUAGUCACUUGAUAGGACUGGAAAUAGAAUGUAAAGCCUGGAUUAAUUCCACCUGAAAGGCUACCUAGAGGGAAUUUGUUCUGCUUGGGGCCUUGUCUUCUCCUAAAGUCUUCUGAGCCUCACAAAUCCUAGCAUGUGCCUCAUUGCUACUGAGAAUAGAAUCCUAGAAUUGUACUCUCUGGAUUUCCCCAAAGGAAUCAUUUUAGGCUCAGAUUAGGCCCUUUGAGGGUUUGAUCUUUGUAUAUCCCUCCUUAAGUCUCCAGUUCUUAGGGGCUCCUGAAAGGUUUUUCUUGAUGUAAUAUUCAGCGCUGCCUUUUCUGCACCCAGAUUGGAAGAGGUCACUUGGAACCAGAUCAUUGUAAAUCUUGGGUUUUCUUUCCAGGCAUGUUUUCAUAGGUCCCCAACUUUUUCUAUACAUGCAACAAGUCAUGUCUGAUUUUGAUAUGAUAGGAUCAAGAGCAGCUCACAAUCAAUACAAAGGAAAUAAGCAAGAAGGCCAUUCAUAGAAACAAUCUUAAAUUAAGUUCUCAGAGACAAGAUUUCCACUCUUUUUUUUCACCGAAAAUAUUAUUUUAACAAUUAUUUUAAUCCAUCUUUACAAUCACACCAUGUGAGACUUUAGUGUUUCUGUUACCAACCUAAUUCAGAUGAAUUAUUUAAAUAUUUAGAUGUAAAAAGCCCUAUGGAGUGGUGUCUGGGGGAUUAGAAUUCUUAUUUGUCAUUUGCUAAAUGCAGUGUCGAACAGUAAUUUAAGAUAAAUGCCUGGGAAGACAGCACUGCAGUCAUGGGGGUAUUUUUAGAAGUGUUGAAUUAAAUUUCAUAUUCUCAACACUUCUGUGAUCUUUACAGGAAGCAUGAGCAUGUGAAAGACAUGAUGUGGACAGAGCUGAGAUUUUAGAAGCUAAAGCACAGUGUGAUAUCAUCAAGGGAAUUUGCAUGAUGAAAAGUGUUAAUAACUAGAAAAUUCAUCAGCAGGAAUGUGUCAAGAUAUAGGAUAAUACCCACACUUCUGAAACUAUAGGGUAAAUCAAAUUAAUAUUUUCCACUUAAAAUAUGACUACCGUGGGGCUGGGGGGCAUGCAUAUACACAGGAGCACAUUUUCAGGUCAAAGGACUAC